Molecule: ribosomal RNA, 443 nt
Filed under: uncultured bacterium
Lineage: Bacteria
Description: partial 16S ribosomal RNA
Rfam family: Bacterial small subunit ribosomal RNA
Source: RNAcentral
CCUACGGGUGGCAGCAGUGGGGAAUAUUGGGCAAUGGGCGCAAGCCUGACGCAGCAACGCCGCGUGGAGGAAGAAGGCUUUCGGGUUGUAAACUUCUUUUCUCAGGGACGAAGCAAGUGACGGUACCUGAGGAAUAAGCCACGGCUAACUACGUGCCAGCAGCCGCGGUAAUACGUAGGUGGGAAGCAUUAUCGGGCUUUACUGGGUGUAAAGGGCGUGUCGGCGGUGACGUAAGUCAGCUGUGAAAUCCACGGGCUCAACCUGUGGCCUGCAUCUGAAACUGUGUUUCUUGAGUACUGGAGAGGCAGACGGAAUUCCUAGUGUAGCGGUGAAAUGCGGAGAUAUUAGGAGGAACACCAGUGGCGAAGGCGGUCUGCUGGACAGCAACUGACGCUGAGGCGCGAAAGCGUGGGGAGCAAACAGGAUUAGAUACCCGAGUAGUC